GACAGAGGUGGCAAGCGUUGUUCGGAUUCAUUGGGUGUAAAGGGUGCGUAGGCGGUUUGGAAAGUCAGAUGUGAAAUACUACAGCUUAACUGUAGAACUGCAUUUGAAACUCCCAGGCUAGAGUAUGGAAGAGGUGAAGGGAAUUCCCGGUGUAAGGGUGAAAUCUGCAGAUAUCGGGAAGAACACCAGUAGCGAAGGCGCUUCACUGGUCCAUUACUGACGCUGAGUGCACGAAGGUGUGGGGAGCAAACGGG
RNAcentral lists this ribosomal RNA (254 nucleotides) under uncultured bacterium. RNAcentral's name for it is "partial 16S ribosomal RNA". It matches the Rfam family "Bacterial small subunit ribosomal RNA", at positions 524 to 776 of the family's 1533-position model. The record is from RNAcentral.